UUUCCUGUGUAGCGGUGGAAUGCGUAGAUAUAGGAAGGAAUACCGAUGGCGAAGGCAGCCUCCUGGACCAAUACUGACGCUGAGGCGCGAAAGCGUGGGUAGCAAACAGGAUUAGAUACCCUGGUAGUCCACGCCGUAAACGAUGAGAACUAGCCGUUGGGGCCCUUGAGGCCUUAGUGGCGUAGCUAACGCGAUAAGUUCUCCGCCUGGGGAGUACGGCCGCAAGGCUAAAACUCAAAUGAAUUGACGGGGGCCCGCACAAGCGGUGGAGCAUGUUGUUUAAUUCGAUGCAACGCGAAGAACCUUACCACCCCUUGACAUCCUCGGAACUGCCUGGAGACAGGCAGGUGCCUUCGGGAACCGAGUGACAGGUGCUGCAUGGCUGUCGUCAGCUCGUGUCGUGAGAUGUUGGGUUAAGUCCCGUAACGAGCGCAACCCUUGUCCUUAUUUGCCAGCGGGUCAGGCCGGGAACUUUAGGGAGACUGCCGGUGACAAACCGGAGGAAGGUGGGGAUGACGUCAAGUCAUCAUGGCCCUCACGGGGUGGGCUACAAACGUGCUACAAUGGGCGGCACAGAGGGCUGCGAACCAGCAAUGGCAAGCGAAUCCCAAAAAACCGCUCGUAGUCCGGAUAGGAGUCUGCAACUCGACUCCUUGAAGUCGGAAUCGCUAGUAAUCGCGAAUCAGAAUGUCGCGGUGAAUACGUUCCCGGGCCUUGUACACACCGCCC
This 729-nucleotide ribosomal RNA is filed under the name uncultured bacterium. RNAcentral describes it as "bacterial SSU rRNA". It matches the Rfam family "Bacterial small subunit ribosomal RNA", at positions 667 to 1395 of the family's 1533-position model. The record is from RNAcentral.